GCCGCCGAAGUUUCUAAGAUGGCGGCUAGUAAUUAUUAUGGAUUCACACAUGCAGCCGCAGCUGCCGCCGCCGGCCCGCAGUACAGUGCCCAGCCGCCUCCUGUCUAUUCCCACCCAACCUCGGGCAGCUAUAGCAUCCAGGCGGCCCCUGGAGUGGCCCAUGCUGUGACGGCCUCGUACCCCACCGCCCAACAGGCGAGUCCCGCGGUCACCGCCCCCUACCCCACCUACCAGCCCCAUCCUGCCCCCAACUACUGCUACCAGCAGCCCGAAACGUCUCCGCAGCUGACGACCCCCCAUCAAACCUACCAGGUGCUGACCGAACCGGUCAGUCUUCUCUUUGCAGCAUUCAUAUUAAUGAUGCCUCUCAGGUGGGCUCAUUUAUUUAUUCCCAAAUUAAUUUGGUUAUACAGGAGAAUUAUAGCUACGGUCGACUGCCGUCGGUCAGCAGCUACGACAACAAGCAGUACUUUCAAACGAGCAUCGCACCUGUGCAGCAAACCGCAACCGAGGCCUACUUCCAGACAGGGUUGAAAACCGGCUACGGUACGACGAGCACAGCAUACAGUCAGCC
Molecule: long non-coding RNA, 574 nt
Filed under: Sinocyclocheilus grahami
Lineage: Eukaryota; Metazoa; Chordata; Actinopteri; Cypriniformes; Cyprinidae
Description: lncRNA (ENSSGRG00000011099.1)
Source: RNAcentral